This 757-nucleotide long non-coding RNA is filed under the name Pan troglodytes (chimpanzee). RNAcentral's name for it is "long non-coding RNA NONPTRT010523". Lineage: Eukaryota; Metazoa; Chordata; Mammalia; Primates; Hominidae. The record is from RNAcentral.
GGGCACAAUAUUUAAUUUCUCGCCUUUUUAAAGCUUAAUAGUGGAUAAUAGGGGGCAGUAUCAAGGGAUAAUUUGGGUCCCCACAGUACCAAAGCAUUUAGAAACCUCUGUUUAAUUUAAGGAAUGAGAUAAAUUACUGCUUUUCUAGACUUCCUAGCAUGGGCUGUUGUGCUGGAGAGAACGAGAGCUACGAAGAGACUACAAUGCCUCUGACUUUUUCAUAGGACAGUUGGCCGAGGAAGACAAACAUAAAGAUGAAGUGCUUAAUUCAAGGUCACACAAUGUCGGGGAUGGACCUCCAGAUUUCCUUACUGACCUGCAUUAUCUUGUGGAUACCUGAGUGAAUUCCACACCACCCAUUUUAUAGAUGAAACCACUGAGACAUGGAGCAACUGACUGAGUAGUCACUGCCCCACCCCUGCCUGGAGCCUCACACAUGACUCGUCUCCUCUCAGUGACCACAGGUUGGUUGAGGGGUUUAACAAGGCUAAGAAGGUGAGACGUGGUCUUGUAACACAGUGGUUAAGAAUGUGACUUUGGAGCCAGCCUGCUAGGGGCUGAAUUCUGACUCAGCCAUUUACUAACUGUGUGACCUUAGAUAAAGGAAACUGAGGCCCAGAGAAGUCAAAUACUUUGAGAUCUCUGUAGGCCCCUACUGUGCUGGCUGUGCAUAGAUUCCAUACCUCCUGCUGUUGCUGUUGUUGGGUCUCCACCUUUACCAUGGCCAUCACCUCCUGACAGUGCUGGAGCUGAGCUG